AGUGAACGCUGGCGGUAGGCCUAACACAUGCAAGUCGAACGGCAGCACAGUAAGAGCUUGCUCUUACGGGUGGCGAGUGGCGGACGGGUGAGGAAUACAUCGGAAUCUACUUUUUCGUGGGGGAUAACGUAGGGAAACUUACGCUAAUACCGCAUACGACCUACGGGUGAAAGCAGGGGAUCUUCGGACCUUGCGCGAUUGAAUGAGCCGAUGUCGGAUUAGUUAGUUGGCGGGGUAAAGGCCCACCAAGGCGACGAUCCGUAGCUGGUCUGAGAGGAUGAUCCGCCACACUGGAACUGGGACACGGUCCAGACUCCUACGGGAGGCAGCAGUGGGGAAUAUUGGACAAUGGGCGCAAGCCUGAUCCAGCCAUACCGCGUGGGGUAAGAAGGCCUUCGGGUUCUAAAGCCCUUUUGUUGGGAAAGAAAAGCAUCAGUUUAAUACCCCGCUGUUCUGACGGUACCCAAAGAAUAAGCACCGGCUAACUUCGUG
RNAcentral lists this ribosomal RNA (492 nucleotides) under uncultured bacterium. RNAcentral's name for it is "partial 16S ribosomal RNA". It matches the Rfam family "Bacterial small subunit ribosomal RNA", at positions 29 to 507 of the family's 1533-position model. The record is from RNAcentral.